RNAcentral lists this microRNA (22 nucleotides) under Petromyzon marinus (sea lamprey). Its description in RNAcentral is "pma-miR-22a-3p". Its record names the gene pma-miR-22a-3p. The record is from miRBase by way of RNAcentral. Lineage: Eukaryota; Metazoa; Chordata; Hyperoartia; Petromyzontiformes; Petromyzontidae.
AAGCUGCCAGUUGAAGAGCUAU